UGAAUUUCGCAAUCGUCGCGUCGUUCCACCACUGGUUCAAGUUGCCAAAUCUGUAAUAAUCGAUAAGUAUAUAAAUCUACAGUGGUUUUUACGGAUGUUCCGUUAUAAAUGCUGAACAAUGCAUCCGAUUGACUUGAAACUUGGUAUCCAUGUAGAAAAUACAUGUACUUAAUGGAUUGGCUAAUAUUUAUACGAGUGUUGGACUCCCUACACCAGUUGCGGGGGCGUUAAUGACGAGAAUCUUUGUAGAGGUCCGUUUUGUCGAAUACGCUUUUUUUCAUCGAUGGAGCAUGGGGUUGUAUGAGCGACUUCACAUGUGGUACAGUAUUCAGUAUACAGUAAAAAAAAACGAUCCGGUAAAUUACGACAUUCCGUUUUGUCAUCAAAUGUUGGAUAAACAGAAUACGUAUCCGUCAUGUUUCCGUACAAUUAUACAAUAACCAUUAUACUAAUGUGUGUAUAUAUUUGAGGAGAAAUAAGUCAUCGCAAGGUUUUAAGGCUUCGGCAGCCUCGAAGAACUAAACCUCUUCCAAAAGCACCGGAAGGGCGUGGGACCCCAAUACGUUUAUUUUCCCAAGAACACCUCAUGAGGCCACGACCCUCAGCCUUGAGGAUUAUCGGCCGAAGGAGGAUGUAAUAGCAAGUUCACCUGUCGUAUUCUCUUCCUUGAUCGUCAAAGGCGUGGGUCAGCUCGUGUCCCAUGACGACCCCCAUGGCCCCGUAGUUCACGCACUUCGGGUUGUCCCCAUCAUAGAAAGGCAACUGCAGGAUCCCGGCCGGAAACACUAUUUGGUUCUUCGUGGGAGUGUAGUAAGCGUUUACCGUUGACGGAGUCAUUCCUGUGUGAUCCAAAGGAUUUUGUUAAAGUAUUGCUGGUGAUAGGACGUCGAGUCCGCACGGGUAGGUACCACCACCCUCCCUAUUUCUGCCGUGAAGCAGUAAUGCAUUUCGGUUUGAAGGGCGAGGCAGCCGUUGUAACUAUAGGUACUUGAGACCUUAGAACUUAUAUCAUAUUAUAGAUGUCUAUGAUCUGGCAACCGCUGUAACUAUAUUGAGACCUUAGAUCACAAGGUGGGUGGCGGCAUUUAGAUUAUAGAUGUCUAUGGUCUCUUGUAGAUGCAUAAAAAAUAAAUAAAUGAAUAAAAUGUAAAAAAUGGCA
This is a long non-coding RNA of Bombyx mori (domestic silkworm), 1159 nucleotides long. RefSeq lists it as uncharacterized. The transcript has 2 exons. NCBI's taxonomy places the organism in Eukaryota, Metazoa, Arthropoda, Insecta, Lepidoptera, Bombycidae. The record is from RefSeq and is a predicted model, not a curated record.